GCCCGGGUGGUGGAAUUGGUAUACACGCAAGACUUAAAAUCUUGUGGCUCUUUAAGCCAUGCGGGUUCGAUUCCCGCCCCGGGCACCA
RNAcentral lists this transfer RNA (88 nucleotides) under Patescibacteria group bacterium. Its description in RNAcentral is "tRNA-Leu". It matches the Rfam family "tRNA". From Rfam's summary of the family: Transfer RNA (tRNA) molecules are approximately 80 nucleotides in length. Their secondary structure includes four short double-helical elements and three loops (D, anti-codon, and T loops). The record is from RNAcentral. RNAcentral also lists the same sequence under 1 other name.